RNAcentral lists this unclassified non-coding RNA (253 nucleotides) under uncultured Sphingomonadaceae bacterium. RNAcentral's name for it is "contains 16S-23S intergenic spacer region". It matches the Rfam family "Bacterial small subunit ribosomal RNA", at positions 524 to 776 of the family's 1533-position model. Lineage: Bacteria; Pseudomonadati; Pseudomonadota; Alphaproteobacteria; Sphingomonadales; Sphingomonadaceae. The record is from RNAcentral.
UACGGAGGGAGCUAGCGUUGUUCGGAAUUACUGGGCGUAAAGCGCGCGUAGGCGGUUUACCAAGUCAGGGGUGAAAUCCCGGAGCUCAACUCCGGAACUGCCCUUGAAACUGGUUCACUAGAAUCUUGGAGAGGCGAGUGGAAUUCCGAGUGUAGAGGUGAAAUUCGUAGAUAUUCGGAAGAACACCAGUGGCGAAGGCGACUCGCUGGACAAGUAUUGACGCUGAGGUGCGAAAGCGUGGGGAGCAAACAGG